CCUACGGGAGGCAGCAGUAGGGAAUUUUUCACAAUGGGCGAAAGCCUGAUGGAGCAACGCCGCGUGCAGGAUGAAGGCCUUCGGGUUGUAAACUGCUUUUAUAAGCGAGAAAUAUGAUGGUAACUUAUGAAUAAGGAUCGGCUAACUACGUGCCAGCAGCCGCGGUCAUACGUAGGAUCCGAGCAUUAUCCGGAGUGACUGGGUGUAAAGAGUUGCGUAGGUGGCAUAAUAAGUAGCUAGUGAAAUCUGGUGGCUCAACCAUUCAGACUAUUAGCGAAACUGUUAAGCUCGAGACCGUUAGGGGUAACUGGAAUUUCUAGUGUAGGAGUGAAAUCCGUAGAUAUUAGAAGGAACACCAAUAGCGUAGGCAGGUUGCUGGGACGGUUCUGACACUAAGGCACGAAAGCGUAGGGAGCAAACGGGAUUAGAUACCCUAGUAGUC
Molecule: ribosomal RNA, 442 nt
Filed under: uncultured bacterium
Lineage: Bacteria
Description: partial 16S ribosomal RNA
Rfam family: Bacterial small subunit ribosomal RNA
Source: RNAcentral